AUUUCCCCUUGAGUUUGUGUGGAACUUUCUUGUCACACAGGACCCCUGAUGCACGCCUCCACUUUGACCACCCCGCUCCUAUACGAUGGGUGACGUCCCCGUCAAUCUCACCGUCCCCUUGAAUCACAGACCCAAGAUAUCGGACGCUAUCCCUCUUGGCGAUGGCCUGAGAACCAAUCAUCACGUCCCUGCCUACCUCGCUCGGCUCGGCG
This 212-nucleotide long non-coding RNA is filed under the name Nicotiana benthamiana. RNAcentral describes it as "long non-coding RNA (NBEN_LNC000638)". Lineage: Eukaryota; Viridiplantae; Streptophyta; Magnoliopsida; Solanales; Solanaceae. The record is from RNAcentral.